AUGACUGUAAACAGAGGAGGUGGAGGGGAGAUUAGCAUUACCAUAAGAAUGCCUGUGUCGAGCUGUUGUCAUGGUGGUCUAGGAAAUGGCAUCCAUGCGGACUCGGUCCUCGACAUGACGCUGACUCGCUUGGAUCUUAGGCCAGCAGUCUUACACCAACCUGAAUAUCACGGAAGAGGUGUGCACCUCUACAUCACCAUUCUGAAUCCAUGCAGUGAUAAAGCACCUGCAGCGUGGAGGUCCGGCGCCUGUGCGGCGCGUGGGCGCGGCGGCCCGGGCUACGCGUGGACGAGGCGGGGCGGGGGCGGCCCGUUUGGCGCGUCCAUGGGGAGAGCCCGCGGCCCGUGCGGCUUGGCUGGGCGCGGCGUCCCGUGGACGGGGCGGCCCGGGCGGCGCAUGGACGGGGUGGGGAGGGGGCGGCCUGAGCGCCUGGAGCGUGGGCACGGCGGUCCGGCGGCGCGGAGGCACAGGGCGAGGGCGUUUUCUGGCCGGGAGGAUACGGGGAAGAGGUGGGGCGGUGGCAAAACUGCCCCGAGGGCGUGGUCGCGGGAGGUCUUACGUUGUUUUUUUACGGGAGGUGUUUCUGAGGAUGUUAACCCAAUGGCAUGGUGGGUGUCGACUGCAUCACAUGCUGAGGAAGUUGGAAUCCGAGUAGGUGAUAUUAUUCAGCGGAUUAAUGGAGAACUCACUUCUACCACAACUGAGUUGGAAAACAAGUUGCUGGGCAUAUGUAGGGGCAAUUUUGAUAGAGGAACUGACAUUAAUGACAAAGUGGAUGUUUCUGUACGGGUAUUUCACACGGCCAACCGUGUCUGGAGAACACAACAUUUAAGUGUAAAUGUAUCUGACUGCCGAGAAGUUGUUGACCGAGCUUAUUAUCCUAUAACAAAUAGAGAAGAGUUUUCUGAUCCGGUGUCACCUGAACAAGUUGACUCUGACUCUGACUCAGAGUCGAACUUGAGCCGCUUCAUGUGA
RNAcentral lists this ribosomal RNA (975 nucleotides) under Triticum aestivum (bread wheat). Its description in RNAcentral is "partial small subunit ribosomal RNA". Lineage: Eukaryota; Viridiplantae; Streptophyta; Magnoliopsida; Poales; Poaceae. The record is from RNAcentral.